This is a long non-coding RNA of Balaenoptera ricei (Rice's whale), 617 nucleotides long. RefSeq lists it as uncharacterized. The transcript is spliced from 3 exons. The record is from RefSeq and is a predicted model, not a curated record. NCBI's taxonomy places the organism in Eukaryota, Metazoa, Chordata, Mammalia, Artiodactyla, Balaenopteridae.
GGUAGCUGCUGCUAUGCUGGGAAAGGACCUCUAAGGUGGUAGCAGCUCUCUUUUCUGGGCUGGAAGCUAUUCUGAAGACUAAGACUCUCCAAGGACUAUUCCACAUAUAAGCGAUAUCAUAUGAUAUAAUGCCAUUUGCAGCAACAUGGAUGGACCUAGAGAUUGUCAUACUGAGUGAAACCUGAAAAAUGAGCACGUGUGGGCCAGACGGUGGUAGGGAAAAGAGUGUUCCAGGAGAUGGAACAGCACAUGCAAAGACUCUAAGAUAAGAACGACUAAGGCGGGCUUCCCUGGUGGUGCAGUGGCUAAGAAUCUACCUGCCAACACAGGGGUCACAGGUUCGAGCCCUGGUCCAGGAAGAUCCCACAUGCCAUGGAGCAACUAAGCCCGUGUGCCACAACUACUGAGCCUGCGCUCUAGAGCCCAUGAGCCACAGCUACUGAAGCCCAUGCACCACAACUACUGAAGCCCAUGCACCUACAACCCGUGCUCUGCAACAAGAGAAGCCACCUCAGUGUGAAGCCCGUGCACUGCAACAAAGAGAAGUCCCUGCUCACCGCAACUAGAGGAAAUCCCACAGGCAGCAACAAAGACCCAACACAGCCAAAAAUAAAUAA